RNAcentral lists this ribosomal RNA (935 nucleotides) under uncultured bacterium. RNAcentral's name for it is "bacterial SSU rRNA". It matches the Rfam family "Bacterial small subunit ribosomal RNA", at positions 27 to 916 of the family's 1533-position model. The record is from RNAcentral.
GGAUGAACGCCGGGCGGUGUGCCUAAUACAUGCAAGUCGAGCGCACUGGCCCAACUGAUAUGAUGUGCUUGCACUGAUUUGACGAUGGAUCACCAGUGAGCGGCGGACGGGUGAGUAACACGUGGGCAACCUGCCCUGGAGCGGGGGAUAACAUUUGGAAACAGAUGCUAAUACCGCAUAACAAUCAAAACCACAUGGUUUUGAUUUCAAAGAUGGCUUCGGCUAUCACUUCAGGAUGGGCCCGCGGUGCAUUAGCUAGUUGGUAAGGUAACGGCUUACCAAGGCGAUGAUGCAUAGCCGAGUUGAGAGACUGAUCGGCCACAAUGGAACUGAGACACGGUCCAUACUCCUACGGGAGGCAGCAGUAGGGAAUCUUCCACAAUGGGCGCAAGCCUGAUGGAGCAACACCGCGUGAGUGAAGAAGGGUUUCGGCUCGUAAAACUCUGUUGUUGAAGAAGAAUGUGCGUGAGAGUAACUGUUCACGCAGUGACGGUAUUCAACCAGAAAGUCACGGCUAACUACGUGCCAGCAGCCGCGGUAAUACGUAGGUGGCAAGCGUUAUCCGGAUUUAUUGGGCGUAAAGCGAGCGCAGGCGGUCACUUAAGUCUGAUGUGAAAGCCUUCGGCUUAACCGAAGAAGUGCAUCGGAAACUGGGUGACUUGAGUGCAGAAGAGGACAGUGGAACUCCAUGUGUAGCGGUGGAAUGCGUAGAUAUAUGGAAGAACACCAGUGGCGAAGGCGGCUGUCUGGUCUGCAACUGACGCUGAGGCUCGAAAGCAUGGGUAGCGAACAGGAUUAGAUACCCUGGUAGUCCAUGCCGUAAACGAUGAGUGCUAGGUGUUGGAGGGUUUCCGCCCUUCAGUGCCGGAGCUAACGCAUUAAGCACUCCGCCUGGGGAGUACGACCGCAAGGUUGAAACUCAAAUGAAUUGACGG